CUCGACUAUACAUGCAAGUCGAGCGGACCGACGGGAGCUUGCUCCCUUAGGUCAGCGGCGGACGGGUGAGUAACACGUGGGUAACCUGCCUGUAAGACUGGGAUAACUCCGGGAAACCGGGGCUAAUACCGGAUGCUUGAUUGAACCGCAUGGUUCAAUCAUAAAAGGUGGCUUUUAGCUACCACUUCAGAUGGACCCGCGGCGCAUUAGCUAGUUGGUGAGGUAACGGCUCACCAAGGCGACGAUGCGUAGCCGACCUGAGAGGGUGAUCGGCCACACUGGGACUGAGACACGGCCCAGACUCCUACGGGAGGCAGCAGUAGGGAAUCUUCCGCAAUGGACGAAAGUCUGACGGAGCAACGCCGCGUGAGUGAUGAAGGUUUUCGGAUCGUAAAACUCUGUUGUUAGGGAAGAACAAGUACCGUUCGAAUAGGGCGGACCUUGACGGUACCUAACCAGAAAGCCACGGCUAACUACGUGCCAGCAGCCGCGGUAAUACGUAGGUGGCAAGCGUUGUCCGGAAUUAUUGGGCGUAAAGCGCGCGCAGGCGGUUUCUUAAGUCUGAUGUGAAAGCCCCCGGCUCAACCGGGGAGGGUCAUUGGAAACUGGGGAACUUGAGUGCAGAAGAGGAGAGUGGAAUUCCACGUGUAGCGGUGAAAUGCGUAGAGAUGUGGAGGAACACCAGUGGCGAAGGCGACUCUCUGGUCUGUAACUGACGCUGAGGCGCGAAAGCGUGGGGAGCGAACAGGAUUAGAUACCCUGGUAGUCCACGCCGUAAACGAUGAGUGCUAAGUGUUAGAGGGUUUCCGCCCUUUAGUGCUGCAGCAAACGCAUUAAGCACUCCGCCUGGGGAGUACGGUCGCAAGACUGAAACUCAAAGGAAUUGACGGGGGCCCGCACAAGCGGUGGAGCAUGUGGUUUAAUUCGAAGCAACGCGAGAACCUUACCAGGUCUUGACAUCCUCUGACACCCUAGAGAUAGGGCUUCCCUUCGGGGGCAGAGUGACAGUGUGCAUGGAUGUCGUCAGCUCGUGUCGUGAGAUGUUGGGUUAGUCCGCACGAGCGCACCCUUGAUCUAGUGCAGCAUCAGUGGCACUCUAAGUGACUGCCGUGACAUCGAGAGCGGAUGACCUAGUCCAUUCCGUAUGAUCUGGGC
This 1155-nucleotide ribosomal RNA is filed under the name Bacillus licheniformis. RNAcentral's name for it is "bacterial SSU rRNA". It matches the Rfam family "Bacterial small subunit ribosomal RNA", at positions 43 to 1214 of the family's 1533-position model. The record is from RNAcentral. Lineage: Bacteria; Bacillati; Bacillota; Bacilli; Caryophanales; Bacillaceae.